Molecule: long non-coding RNA, 302 nt
Organism: Oncorhynchus tshawytscha (Chinook salmon)
Lineage: Eukaryota; Metazoa; Chordata; Actinopteri; Salmoniformes; Salmonidae
Exons: 3
Source: RefSeq, a predicted model, not a curated record
GGUCAGGUGAUGCCCCUAGGUCAUGAGGGAUGAGUGAUCUGGGUCAGGAGGGGUCAGGUGAUGCCCCUAGGUCAUGAGGGAUGAGUGAUCUGGGUCAGGAGGGGUCAGGUGAUGCCCCUAGGUCAUGAGGGAUGAGUGAUCUGGGUCAGGAGGGGUCAGGUGAUGCCCCUAGGUCAUGAGGGAUGAGUGAUCUGGGUCAGGAGGGGUCAGGUGAUGCCCCUAGGUCAUGAGGGAUGAGUGAUCUGGGUCAGGAGGGGUCAGGUGAUGCCCCUAGGUCAUGAGGGAUGAGUGAUCUGGAUCAG